Molecule: non-coding RNA, 1854 nt
Organism: Pelobates cultripes (western spadefoot toad)
Lineage: Eukaryota; Metazoa; Chordata; Amphibia; Anura; Pelobatidae
Source: the annotation of a GenBank genome assembly
CGAAGAGCCAAGGAGAGCUCCCCCGUUCCAGCCCACAGAAACAUCUGUUUAAACACUGGCACUUUGCCAUGAUUGCAUGGAGCCCUGCACCGGAUCGAGAGGUGGUCAAUGCCCAGUCAAAACUUCACUCGACAAUGCCUCAGACUCGAUACCUACGGUCUGGCUAAUCUUUGGAACAUGGUUUGGGUGAAACAGCAAGACCUGUCUCAGGAUGUGGAAGUUGAGUUAAGAACUUGGUUAUUAACACGCUGAACAGAACCAGCCCAGAUGCGCCACUUCCUGACCAACCGCUUGGAGCUAUUUUCGGCUUGACCACUGGCCGCAGUUGGCCAGAACUUUCACUGAAUUAAGGAUCAGGGAGCUAAUUUCCCAUAUUGGGUGCUUGGACACUACAACCUGGGUAUAUAUAAUGUAUGGGGUUUUUAUGUUGUCAUAUUGGGGCGAUACUCUGUGUCAGACUUCUCUUUGCCCCUGUCCCCUAUUAAAUACAGCCCCCACUCUAAUAAUCUUACCUUUUUUCCAGUGCCAACACUCCGGCAACACUGGCUAGUUCUCCUUGUCACGUGAAAUCUUGCCAAUGCCAAUUUGAGAGAGUAGGCAGGUAGCGUAGGCCAAGGUUUGAGGCAUAAGGUAGGGAUCCACAAGAGUAGUCAAGAAAUAAAGACAGAUUCAGGAACCAGCAAUGGAGGAAAAGGGCAAAUUUAGUAAGUAAUCAGAAACACGAACUGAGGCCUGAAGCCAAUGAUGAAUGGAGUAAGUGAACAGGUUACAUUGGCCCUCAGUCUUUUUACUCCAGGUAAUAAUUUGUAUUUUAUAUUUAUAUACAGUUGGCAUAUUUUCUUACAGUAAGUAGGUACACAUUUUAAGUAAUGUUCAUAUGUUUAGAUUAUAAGUUCGUGUGCUCAAGGCGUCACUACCUCUUGUUUCAGUAAGUCAAGCUUAUAUGGUUGAAGUUAGUGUAUAUCUCAUGAAAUUCUUUGUACACACUGUGGAAAAUGUCAGCAUUUUACAAAUAACAAUAAUAUAACAUUAAACUGUAUAACACCCACAAUUGCAUUUUUCCAAACAUUCCUAAGUACAUAUUUAAAAGAAAAACCUUCUGCUCCUUGACUCUACAAGUAAAUGAACCAUUUUAGCACCAGCGGAAAACAGACAUUGUUUCAGUGUUGAGUGGUGAACCCCUGUGAAGACUCUUUGGUAAAGUCCCACUCGGUGUCCAAAGCUGCCUUAUUUAAGCACCAUAAAUAAAAUAACUUUAAAAUCUAAUAUUCAUGUUGCUAGCAGGCUACUUGUGCCAUCCCCUGGUUCUAUGUCACGCUGUUUAUAGGAGGUAUGACACAAACCAGGAGUCCGCAAAGCACCCAUGUCCCAGACCCUCACUUGCAGACCCUCACACGUCCAUAUUAGCAAUAUCUAUUUCAUCCAUAUCUGGAUGGCACUGAAGGAAGUGGGAAGUGUAGUAACGGGCCUUGGAGACCCUUGGUUAGUAUCAACCUGCACAAAAAGGGUGACAAGAGUACUGGGGGGAUGGUAUUAUACCCCUGAUAGCACCAUAACUGCUACAGAAGGCUUCUAAUUAUUACUAUUUUCUGUUUUUGCAUUAAUGGGUUACCUUCACGCAGUGCCAAAUUCUUCUAAAUUCAUUAACUAUAUAUAACAAAGGAAUAGUUAUGGCCAUGCUUUAGGAGAAUGGGUUGUGGAGGUGUCUUGUGGCCAAAGUCACAGAAAGAUGGAUGAUAACCAGGCGUUUACCGUACACGCCAACAUGAAGAAUCAUGAAACGUAUGACUGACAUGUUACUAAGACCUUAUUUUAAAAUAAACUUUCUUAAAAAGUAGCUUUUUUAGAUUAAUG